Molecule: unclassified non-coding RNA, 529 nt
Filed under: Bombus terrestris (buff-tailed bumblebee)
Lineage: Eukaryota; Metazoa; Arthropoda; Insecta; Hymenoptera; Apidae
Description: misc RNA ENSBTSG00005036139.1
Source: RNAcentral
AAUUCAAACAACCUGAAUUCUCAUUUUCAUGGAUUGCGUCUGCGAACGUCUCAGAGUCGCGCCAGAAGGUUGCCUCACCCUCGUUGGUUUCCCAAGGAACAUGGCGAACCGGAAAUAGAGGAUGAACCACUGGCCAUAGAGUACAAAGAGGCGGAGGCUGGCACAUUUCCGGCGACCCAUCUACCGCCAGGUCCAGUCACUCCCACUGGCACUCCUGUCCCCAUGCUAUACUCUGACGCGCUUUGUGGCAGAACCCAAGACUUUCCAGACAUCGAGUACUAUAAAAUACAGAUAUUGCGAGAUUUAUCCUAAGAUGUUAUAAAAAUGUAUUAAAGUUUGUAACAGUGUUAUAAAAGGUAUUAUGAAAGGUAUUAUAAAAUGUAGGUAGUAUGUCAGGAAGGAUGAGAAGGUGUAAAUGUUUUAAGCGAAAUAAAGUUUUGAUGCUAAAAUAAAAUUAGGAUUAUAUAGAUAUAUUAAAACUACGAAAGUAGAAUGUAACGCAAAAAGGGCCCCUCAAACACGGACUAAG